RNAcentral lists this ribosomal RNA (403 nucleotides) under Verrucomicrobiota bacterium. RNAcentral describes it as "Verrucomicrobia bacterium partial 16S ribosomal RNA". It matches the Rfam family "Bacterial small subunit ribosomal RNA", at positions 355 to 776 of the family's 1533-position model. Lineage: Bacteria; Pseudomonadati; Verrucomicrobiota. The record is from RNAcentral. RNAcentral also lists the same sequence under 1 other name.
UGGGGAAUAUUGCACAAUGGAGGGAACUCUGAUGCAGCGACGCCGCGUGAACGAAGAAGGCUUUCGAGUCGUAAAGUUCUUUUAUAUGGGAAGAUAAUGACGGUACCAUAAGAAAAAGCCCCGGCUAACUACGUGCCAGCAGCCGCGGUAAUACGUAGGGGGCUAGCGUUGUCCGGAAUCACUGGGCGUAAAGGGUUCGCAGGCGGAAAUGCAAGUCAGGUGUAAAAGGCAGUAGCUUAACUACUGUAAGCAUUUGAAACUGCAUAUCUUGAGAAGAGUAGAGGUAAGUGGAAUUGUUAGUGUAGCGGUGAAAUGCGUAGAUAUUAAAAAGAAUACCGGUGGCGAAGGCGACUUACUGGGCUCAUUCUGACGCUGAGGAACGAAAGCGUGGGUAGCAAACAGG